RNAcentral lists this long non-coding RNA (533 nucleotides) under Capra hircus (goat). RNAcentral's name for it is "lncRNA (ENSCHIG00010008505.1)". Lineage: Eukaryota; Metazoa; Chordata; Mammalia; Artiodactyla; Bovidae. The record is from RNAcentral.
AUGGUCUGCUUGCUGGCCAGAGAUGAAGUCACCACACUGGCUUUACGAGCUCUCACAGCUGCACCACAUCCCCUGAGACUCUUACUGGGGCAAGAAAAUGUGCCUGCAGAGCUUCGAGCCGCACUAGUCAGCUCUGGUGGUGCCAGGGAGAGUCCUCUUUUCCCGAGGGGCCCUGCAUCUCUCUUAAAGGUCUUGCUUCUGAACUUGGCCCCUGCGUCGGAGCCUUCCUCAUUCAUGGGUCCCUGGAGUUGCUCCCUGAAAUCAAACCUCUGACCAUGUCCCUACCCCGUCUACCACUCAUGUCUGAAUUUCAGUUCUACAAGGCUCAAGUGUCCUCCUACGGGACCUCUGAUAUCCAGUAGGUAUUCUGAGGCAGCUAAGUGAUUUGGGGUCUGUGCGACAAAUUUCUGGGACAGGGUGUGAAGUAGCUUACAUCAUCAGCCUGCUCUUUCUAAUCUCAGCUCCAGCAUGUCCAGACAUUUUAAAAAAUACCUAUCUAUUUAUUUGGCUGCACUGGGUCUUAGUUGCAGCAC